Salmo salar (Atlantic salmon) is the source of this 54-nucleotide non-coding RNA. NCBI's taxonomy places the organism in Eukaryota, Metazoa, Chordata, Actinopteri, Salmoniformes, Salmonidae. The record is from Rfam.
AUACGUAAUUACUGUAAGUCGCUUUGGAUAAAAGCGUCUGCCAAAUGGCUUGUU